This 253-nucleotide ribosomal RNA is filed under the name uncultured bacterium. RNAcentral's name for it is "partial 16S ribosomal RNA". It matches the Rfam family "Bacterial small subunit ribosomal RNA", at positions 524 to 776 of the family's 1533-position model. The record is from RNAcentral.
AACGUAGGAGACAAACGUUAUCCGGAGUUACUGGGCGUAAAGGGCGUGUAGGUGGUUUCGUAAGUCUGGCGUGAAAUAUCUCGGCUUAACCGAGGCAGGUCGUCGGAUACUGCCGGACUAGAGGACGGUAGAGGCGUGUGGAAUUCCGGGUGUAGUGGUGAAAUGCGUAGAGAUCCGGAGGAACACCAGUGGCGAAGGCGACACGCUGGGCCGUACCUGACACUGAUGCGCGACAGCAUGGGGAGCAAACAGG